RNAcentral lists this ribosomal RNA (482 nucleotides) under uncultured bacterium. Its description in RNAcentral is "partial 16S ribosomal RNA". It matches the Rfam family "Bacterial small subunit ribosomal RNA", at positions 30 to 507 of the family's 1533-position model. The record is from RNAcentral.
AUUGAACGCUGGCGGCAUGCCUUACACAUGCAAGUCGAACGGUAACGGGCCUUCGGGUGCCGACGAGUGGCGAACGGGUGCGUAAUACAUCGGAACGUGCCCGAUCGUGGGGGAUAACGAGGCGAAAGCUUUGCUAAUACCGCAUACGAUCUACGGAUGAAAGCAGGGGACCGCAAGGCCUUGCGCGGACGGAGCGGCCGAUGGCAGAUUAGGUAGUUGGUGGGAUAAAAGCUUACCAAGCCGACGAUCUGUAGCUGGUCUGAGAGGAUGAUCAGCCACACUGGGACUGAGACACGGCCCAGACUCCUACGGGAGGCAGCAGUGGGGAAUUUUGGACAAUGGGUGCAAGCCUGAUCCAGCCAUGCCGCGUGCAGGAUGAAGGCCUUCGGGUUGUAAACUGCUUUUGUACGGAACGAAAAGCCUUCUUUUAAUACAGGAGGGUCAUGACGGUACCGUAAGAAUAAGCACCGGCUAACUACGUG